This 301-nucleotide ribosomal RNA is filed under the name uncultured bacterium. Its description in RNAcentral is "partial 16S ribosomal RNA". It matches the Rfam family "Bacterial small subunit ribosomal RNA", at positions 509 to 809 of the family's 1533-position model. The record is from RNAcentral.
CAGUCGCCGCGGUAAUACGGAGGGUGCAAGCGUUAUCCGGAUUCACUGGGUUUAAAGGGUGCGUAGGUGGGCAGGUAAGUCAGUGGUGAAAUCUCCGGGCUUAACCCGGAAACUGCCGUUGAUACUAUCUGUCUUGAAUAUAGUGGAGGUGAGCGGAAUAUGUCAUGUAGCGGUGAAAUGCUUAGAUAUGACAUAGAACACCCAUUGCGAAGGCAGCUCGCUACACUAUUAUUGACACUGAGGCACGAAAGCGUGGGGAUCAAACAGGAUUAGAUACCCCCGUAGUCCCUGUCUCUUAUAA